CGUAAACAACCAUAUUAGCCUCUGAAACCUUGAGCCCCUCCAUUGAAAUGGCAACCGAAACAAGGAGGAGAAGAAUCCACAACAACCAGAGAAGAAAGAGAGCUCGAAGAAGGUAAAAACAGCGAACUUUUAUUACCACGUGUGUUGCAAAUGUUGGCUAAAAUUUAAAGAGAUGCAUAAUGAAACCUGAAAUAGAAACCAAGACUAGCGGGCUUAACUCUCUUUAUAUUGCAUAACCCACACUUCAAUUCCCUUGGAACGUCCAAAACUCCUACCCCAAAAGUCACUUGAUCCAGACCUCCAAAGUUCCAACGAUCACAGCUUGAAUCUUCAUUUACCCACAGCACACUCACCGGACCCGAUGAACUCCGACGAGGGUGGUGGAGGAGGAGAAUCAGCAACGGCGUGAGCAGUCGGCGUAGGCACCCAGUACGGCGAGCGGCAGACGUCGACUCGAACGGUGGUGGUGCAGCGGCCGG
RNAcentral lists this unclassified non-coding RNA (479 nucleotides) under Hevea brasiliensis (rubber tree). The record is from RNAcentral. Lineage: Eukaryota; Viridiplantae; Streptophyta; Magnoliopsida; Malpighiales; Euphorbiaceae.